RNAcentral lists this ribosomal RNA (256 nucleotides) under uncultured Actinomycetes bacterium. RNAcentral describes it as "uncultured actinobacterium partial 16S ribosomal RNA". It matches the Rfam family "Bacterial small subunit ribosomal RNA", at positions 28 to 276 of the family's 1533-position model. Lineage: Bacteria; Bacillati; Actinomycetota; Actinomycetes. The record is from RNAcentral.
GACGAACGCUGGCGGCGUGCCUAACACAUGCAAGUGGAGCGACGAACCAGGCUUCGGCCUGGGGCUAAGCCGCGAACGGGUGAGUAACACGUGGGUAACCUGCCCCGAUGACUGGGACAACCCGAGGAAACUCGGGCUAAUACCGGAUGUGCUCUGCCGGCAUAGGCCGGCUUGAGGAAAGGAAGCUUCGGCCUCCGCAUCGGGGAGGGCCCGCGGCCCAUUAGCUAGUUGGUGUGGUAACGGCUCACCAAGGCGA